Molecule: ribosomal RNA, 332 nt
Filed under: uncultured bacterium
Lineage: Bacteria
Description: bacterial SSU rRNA
Rfam family: Bacterial small subunit ribosomal RNA
Source: RNAcentral
CGUGCAGGCGGUUCGGUAAGUUGGGCGUGAAAUCUCCCGGCUCAACUGGGAGAGGUCGUCCAAUACUACCGGACUCGAGAGCAGUAGAGGAAGACGGAAUUCCCGGUGUAGUGGUGAAAUGCGUAGAUAUCGGGAGGAACACCAGUGGCGAAGGCGGUCUUCUGGACUGUUUCUGACGCUCAGACGCGAGAGCUAGGGUAGUAAACGGGAUUAGAGACCCCGGUAAUCCUAGCCGUAAACGAUGUGAACUUGGCGUCGGUGGCUUAAACACCAUCGGUGCCGCAGCUAACGCGAUAAGUUCACCGCCUGGGGACUACGAUCGCAAGAUUAAA